Molecule: long non-coding RNA, 118 nt
Organism: Prionailurus viverrinus (fishing cat)
Lineage: Eukaryota; Metazoa; Chordata; Mammalia; Carnivora; Felidae
Exons: 4
Source: RefSeq, a predicted model, not a curated record
CCUGACUACCAAGUCAGCCAUGAAGAAAAUAGAAGACAACGACACUCUUGUGUUCAUUGUGGAUGUCAAGGCCAACAAGCACCAGAUCAAACAGGCCUGUCUCUUAUACACAUUUGAC